GUAGAGAUGGCUCACUAGUUAAGAUCACUGGCUAGUAUUCCAGAAGACCUGGGUUUGAUUCCCAGUAUCCACA
This 73-nucleotide transfer RNA is filed under the name Rattus norvegicus (Norway rat). It matches the Rfam family "tRNA". From Rfam's summary of the family: Transfer RNA (tRNA) molecules are approximately 80 nucleotides in length. Their secondary structure includes four short double-helical elements and three loops (D, anti-codon, and T loops). Further hydrogen bonds mediate the characteristic L-shaped molecular structure. tRNAs have two regions of fundamental functional importance: the anti-codon, which is responsible for specific mRNA codon recognition, and the 3' end, to which the tRNAs corresponding amino acid is attached (by aminoacyl-tRNA synthetases). tRNAs cope with the degeneracy of the genetic code in two manners: having more than one tRNA (with a specific anti-codon) for a particular amino acid; and 'wobble' base-pairing, i.e. permitting non-standard base-pairing at the 3rd anti-codon position. The record is from Rfam by way of RNAcentral. Lineage: Eukaryota; Metazoa; Chordata; Mammalia; Rodentia; Muridae.